GCACCCUUAGCUCAACUGGAUAGAGCGGCGGUCUACGGAACCGCAGGUUAGAGGUUCGAGCCCUCUAGGGUGCA
This 74-nucleotide transfer RNA is filed under the name Phycisphaerae bacterium. Its description in RNAcentral is "tRNA-Arg". It matches the Rfam family "tRNA". Rfam says of the family: Transfer RNA (tRNA) molecules are approximately 80 nucleotides in length. The record is from RNAcentral. Lineage: Bacteria; Pseudomonadati; Planctomycetota; Phycisphaerae.